RNAcentral lists this ribosomal RNA (600 nucleotides) under uncultured bacterium. RNAcentral describes it as "bacterial SSU rRNA". It matches the Rfam family "Bacterial small subunit ribosomal RNA", at positions 876 to 1482 of the family's 1533-position model. The record is from RNAcentral.
GGAAGUACGUUCGCAAGAAUGAAACUCAAAGGAAUUGGCGGGGGUCCGCACAAGCGGUGGAGUAUGUGGUUUAAUUCGAUGAUACGCGAGGAACCUUACCUGGGCUAGAAUGCUGGGAGACCGCUAGUGAAAGCUAGUUUUGUAGCAAUACACUGCCAGUAAGGUGCUGCAUGGCCGUCGUCAGCUCGUGCCGUGAGGUGUUGGGUUAAGUCCCGCAACGAGCGCAACCCCUAUCUUUAGUUGCCAACAGGUAAUGCUGGGAACUCUAAAGAAACUGCCGCCGUAAGGUGUGAGGAAGGAGGGGAUGAUGUCAGGUCAUCAUGGCCUUUAUGCCCAGGGCUACACACGUACUACAAUGGGGGAGACAAAGGGCUGCAACAUAGCGAUAUGAAGCCAAUCCCAAAAACUCCCUCUCAGUUCAGAUUGCAGGCUGCAACUCGCCUGCAUGAAGCUGGAAUCGCUAGUAAUCGUAUAUCAGCAAUGAUACGGUGAAUACGUUCCCGGACCUUGCACACACCGCCCGUCAAGCCAUGGGAGUCGGGUGUACCUAAAGUCGGUAACCGUAAGGAGCUGCCUAGGGUAAAAUCGAUGACUGGGGCU